Long non-coding RNA from Haemorhous mexicanus (house finch), 2957 nucleotides. RefSeq lists it as uncharacterized. Lineage: Eukaryota; Metazoa; Chordata; Aves; Passeriformes; Fringillidae. The record is from RefSeq and is a predicted model, not a curated record. The transcript has 2 exons.
CUCUCCCGUGUCUCUCUCAGGUUUCUGGCGGCCACUUCCUCCUCCCUUUCCCGUGCCCGGCGCUCAGAGACCUCCAGCUCCAGCUCCCGUUCUUGAUUCACCCUCCUCUCUCUCAUUCUCCGUUUUCUUCUGGGGUCAUCUCUUUCUUCCCUCUCUUGCUCCUCUCGGAUCUCCCUUUCCCUUUCCUCAGAUUCCAGCUCCCGUUCCUGCUUUGUUCUCCGUCCGUAGCCGCGUUCCUCUGGCUCUGCUCUCCCACAUUCCCCGAGGUCGAUCUCUAACGGUUCCUCCAGGUACGACUGAUGUGGCCGCCUGGACUCUGGACAUUCCAGCUCAGCCGCCCGGCAGCUUCUCCCUUCCAGCUCUCUUUGUUCCAGCUCACGCCGGCGGUGGCGGCUCCUCUCUUCCCGGAGCAAUUCGGGUUCCCGUGGCCGAUUGUCACCUUCUCCAUCUGCUCCUCGUGGCCACUGGGUUCUUUCAUCACCCCCUGGCUCCUGGCGGCUCCACCUGUCCAGCUGUGGUUGGGGUUCUCGGCGUUGCCUGCCUGUCCUCACGUCUGCCAGUUCUUCCUCCCGGAGCCCCUCCCGGUCUCUCCUCUCUCCCUCCCGUCUGUCUGGCUCCGGGGGCUGCCGCCUUCUCCGGCUCUCCCGCUGCUCGCACGGCUCCUGGCUCCGUUCCCGGUGUUCCCGAGGGAUCAGCUCCCUGCGUGGUUCCGCGUCCGUCCUGCUCCGCGUGCGAUGUUCCUGCUGAUCCCUCCUCGUUUCCUCCGAGAUUUCCACCUCCCUGACCCUGAGGUCUCCUUGCAGCUCAGCUUCACCAUUCCUCUCCCAGGUUUGUCGUUCCUCCUCCUCCUCCUGGAGCUGCCGGCGGUUCCCUCUGCUCCUGAAUUCCGGCUCCCGCAGGGAUUUUCCGCCGGUCGGGAUCUUUGUCCUCUGCACCAGGAACGGGGCCCUCGGCUGGAACCAGAAGCAGCACUUGGCCACCCGGAACACCAGGAGGAGGAACUCGUUAAAAUCGAUGUCCCCGUCCCCAUCCCACUCCAGGAACUGCAGGAUCUUCUCGAUGGUCUGAGGGUCGUGUGGCUUCUGCAGGGAAAAAACACGGUGGGGGAAAAAGGGGAUUUUUGUCUUCCUGCUCCUUGGGGAGAAAUGCAACAAUGGGAAGAGUCAUAGGAAUUCUCCUUCCAUCUCUCAAAAUCUCACUUUUAGGGCUCAGCACCAGCUGUGGGAAUUCAUUCCCCAAAAUCCCCCCUGGAUCCCCCUUUUCUCCAGGCUGAGCCCCCCCAGCUCCUUCAGGGUUCUCCGUUCCCUUCCCAGCACAAGCAAACCCAACCUUUGGUGGAACCCUCCCCGUUCCCUUUCCAGAGAGGAUUUUGCCGUUCCCACAUCCCAGCCCUUCCCCGCUGCGCUCACCACCAGGGAAUCUGCGAAUUCCCUCUGGAUGAGCUCCCUCAUCCUCCUGCGGCUGAGCCCGGAGCCGUCCCCAUCUCCCCGGGCGUGCUGCUGGAAGACGCCGACGAUGGUGGCGAUGCUGUCCAAGAACGGGGACAUCCUGCAGAUCCGAGCGAGCCUGCGAGGGACAGGAGCAGACCAAGGGCUGGGGGAAAUCCUUGGGAAGAGGGAGAGGAAUUCCUGGCUCCGCGUUCCCCUCUGGGAACACAUUCCGGGGUUUUAGUGGGAUGGGGAGUGGCCUCUGGCCUCGCCACUGACGCGUUUGGGUGACGUCGGAGCGGGAAUGGUGACGGGGAUGCGGUGAUGGGGAGGGACCCGGCGGUGCUGACUCAAGAGCUGCCCCCAGAUCCUGCCCUGUGAGGUUGUCCCAUGGAAUAUUUCCUUGGAAUGGACCCUGAAUGGAGCCAGUCCAACCCCUCUGCUGUCCAGGGAGGUCUCUAAGGUCUCCAUGGAGCUUCUCCUCUCCAGGUGAACCCCUCCAUCUCUCCCAACCUUCCCCCAGCCCUUGGAGCAUCUCCAUGGCCUCAUUCCAGAACUUCCUGGUGUUCCCAAGAUCCAUCCCCGUGAUCCCGGUGAGGGAAGCUUUAACCCAACCCAAGACAAGAUCUGGGGCAGAGACCUCAAAAGCUGCGUCUGGAAACCUCCAAAGCCUCCUCCUUCCCUCCUUCCUCCCUUGUGGGAUCCCCAAGCCUCCUCUGGGGAACCUCCGUGCCCGAUCUGAUCCCGGGGAGCUGCGCCGUGCCCGAUUCCCGCCUCCGGAACGUGCCCGGGCACACGAGCACUCCCUGCCCCAUGGAAACGCCGGAAUUUCCAUGGAGAAGGGGCCGCUGCUCCAGCUGGGAGCUGACCCCACACCCAAGGAAGCCCCUGGACUUCUCCCAUAUUCCCUUCCCUCAAGGACAACCCAACCCAACAAUUCCAACAGGGACAAACCCCUUGAUACUCCCAAAAACUGCCGGGAACGACUCUCCCGUCCGCCGUGAAUCCCGGAGAAACACCAGAAUUCCCACCCAGGGGAACAUUCCCGGCAAAGGGAACGUUCCCAAGGGAGCCACUCACCCGAGUCACCGGCGGGAUCAAGUGGGAUUCCUGGGAAGCCGUGCGGAGCGAGGCGAGGACGGGGCUGCUUUUAUAGGGUCCCCGUUGGGGUUGGAGAGGAGCCACCCUUCGUGGACGUUGUCCUGAUUCAUCCUGGGCCAAGCCCAGUCCCAAACGGGUUAUUUGGCUUUAUCAACCCUUCCCUAUCAUUUUCACCCCGAAAUAGCAGCGGCUCUUCAGGCCGGUUCCGCCUAAUCCUGGAAAAUCCUGGCUGUAAAAUCCUUUUACGGUCGCGUUUCGGAUUUUUUGGGGAAAUCUGGAAGGGCUCCAGAGCGUGAAUGGAGGAGGGUGGAUUUCAAUGUAAAUAUUUGUGUUAUGGGUGGGAGUUGAUGUCUUCAACGCCUGCAAAACCACAUGAAAAUAGGAAUUAAUAUUUAAAUUAAAUUAAUUAAAUUCAUUACAUUAAUUAAA